GUGCUCGCUUUGGCAGCACAUACACUAAAACUGGAAUGAUGCAGAGAAGAUUCCCAUGGCCCCUGUGCAAAGAAUGCAUUCCUAUGAGGUAUGAGGACCAUCACAUA
Ochotona princeps (American pika) is the source of this 107-nucleotide small nuclear RNA. NCBI's taxonomy places the organism in Eukaryota, Metazoa, Chordata, Mammalia, Lagomorpha, Ochotonidae. The record is from Ensembl.